Molecule: non-coding RNA, 297 nt
Organism: Castor canadensis (American beaver)
Lineage: Eukaryota; Metazoa; Chordata; Mammalia; Rodentia; Castoridae
Source: RefSeq, a predicted model, not a curated record
CACACAUUGCAAUAUACUUUUUAAAAAUAUAUUUGCCAUAAAUAAUAAACAACUGAUUUUGGCCCUGAAGUCAAGAGAAUUGAACAAGUAGCUUCUGAGAUCAAGAAUGCCUGCUUUUACACUGAGAAAAUACAGUGUCAACAAAGGCUGAAUACAGUCGUCAAAAGAGCAAUUGGAAGCCAGCUAGUUUGAACUGUGCUUUAGCAUUUAAGAGCUGAGUGACCUUGGCAGAUUAAGAAUUACUGGAGGAAAAGUCCUAAAUUCAACAGAAUUUGUAUGCUCUCUGCUGGACAUGAG